GGCUAACGCUGGCGGCGUGUCUUAGCCAUGCAAGUCGAGCGGACUUAUGGGGUAACUUAUAAGUCAGCGGCGGACGGCGGAGUAACACGUAGCUAACCUACCCUCUGGACGGGGAUAACCUACCGAAAGGUGGGCUAAUACCCGAUGUAGUCAUCCUGUAUAGGGGUGAUGAAAGGUGGGCUUCUGUUCACAAGCUCAUGCUGGAGGAGGGGCUGCGGCCUAUCAGGUAGUUGGUAGGGUAAUAGCCUACCAAGCCGAUGACGGGUAGCCGGCCUGAGAGGGUGACCGGCCCGAGGGGCACUGAGAUACGGGUCCCACUCCUACGGGAGGCAGCAGGCUAGAAAUUUGGGCAAUGGGGGAAACCCUGACCCAGUGACGCCGCGUGCAGGAAGGAGCCCUUCGGGGUGUAAACUGCUGUCGUGUAGGGAGAAGGGUACUAAGGUGAACAAUCUUAGUACUUGACGGUACUACAGGAGGAAGCCCAGGCUAACCUCGUG
Molecule: ribosomal RNA, 497 nt
Filed under: uncultured bacterium
Lineage: Bacteria
Description: bacterial SSU rRNA
Rfam family: Bacterial small subunit ribosomal RNA
Source: RNAcentral